GGUUAAGUUAGAAAGGGCGCACGGUGGAUGCCUUGACACUAGGAGUCGAUGAAGGACGGGACUAACGCCGAUAUGCUUCGGGGAGCUGUAAGUAAGCUUUGAUCCGAAGAUUUCCGAAUGGGGAAACCCACCAUACGUAAUGGUAUGGUAUCCUUACCUGAAUACAUAGGGUAAGGAAGACAGACCCAGGGAACUGAAACAUCUAAGUACCUGGAGGAAGAGAAAGCAAAUGCGAUUUCCUGAGUAGCGGCGAGCGAAACGGAACAUAGCCCAAACCAAGAGGCUUGCCUCUUGGGGUUGUAGGACAUUCUAUACGGAGUUACAAAGGAACGAGGUAGACGAAGCGACCUGGAAAGGUCCGUCGUAGAGGGUAACAACCCCGUAGUCGAAACUUCGUUCUCUCUUGAAUGUAUCCUGAGUACGGCGGAACACGUGAAAUUCCGUCGGAAUCUGGGAGGACCAUCUCCCAAGGCUAAAUACUCCCUAGUGAUCGAUAGUGAACCAGUACCGUGAGGGAAAGGUGAAAAGCACCCCGGAAGGGGAGUGAAAGAGAUCCUGAAACCGUGUGCCUACAAAUAGUCAGAGCCCGUUAACGGGUGAUGGCGUGCCUUUUGUAGAAUGAACCGGCGAGUUACGAUCCCGUGCGAGGUUAAGCUGAAGAGGCGGAGCCGCAGCGAAAGCGAGUCUGAAUAGGGCGUUUAGUACGUGGUCGUAGACCCGAAACCAGGUGAUCUACCCAUGUCCAGGGUGAAGUUCAGGUAACACUGAAUGGAGGCCCGAACCCACGCACGUUGAAAAGUGCGGGGAUGAGGUGUGGGUAGCGGAGAAAUUCCAAUCGAACCUGGAGAUAGCUGGUUCUCCCCGAAAUAGCUUUAGGGCUAGCCUUAAGUGUAAGAGUCUUGGAGGUAGAGCACUGAUUGGACUAGGGGUCCUCAUCGGAUUACCGAAUUCAGUCAAACUCCGAAUGCCAAUGACUUAUCCUUAGGAGUCAGACUGCGAGUGAUAAGAUCCGUAGUCAAAAGGGAAACAGCCCAGACCGCCAGCUAAGGUCCCAAAGUGUGUAUUAAGUGGAAAAGGAUGUGGAGUUGCUUAGACAACUAGGAUGUUGGCUUAGAAGCAGCCACCAUUUAAAGAGUGCGUAAUAGCUCACUAGUCGAGUGACUCUGCGCCGAAAAUGUACCGGGGCUAAAUACACCACCGAAGCUGCGGAUUGAUACCGAAUGGUAUCAGUGGUAGGGGAGCGUUCUAAGGACAGUGAAGUCAGACCGGAAGGACUGGUGGAGUGCUUAGAAGUGAGAAUGCCGGUAUGAGUAGCGAAAGACGGGUGAGAAUCCCGUCCACCGAAUGCCUAAGGUUUCCUGAGGAAGGCUCGUCCGCUCAGGGUUAGUCAGGACCUAAGCCGAGGCCGACAGGCGUAGGCGAUGGACAACAGGUUGAUAUUCCUGUACCACCUCUUUAUCGUUUGAGCAAUGGAGGGACGCAGAAGGAUAGAAGAAGCGUGCGAUUGGUUGUGCACGUCCAAGCAGUUAGGCUGAUAAGUAGGCAAAUCCGCUUAUCGUGAAGGCUGAGCUGUGAUGGGGAAGCUCCUUAUGGAGCGAAGUCUUUGAUUCCCCGCUGCCAAGAAAAGCUUCUAGCGAGAUAAAAGGUGCCUGUACCGCAAACCGACACAGGUAGGCGAGGAGAGAAUCCUAAGGUGUGCGAGAGAACUCUGGUUAAGGAACUCGGCAAAAUGACCCCGUAACUUCGGGAGAAGGGGUGCUUUCUUAACGGAAAGCCGCAGUGAAUAGGCCCAAGCGACUGUUUAGCAAAAACACAGCUCUCUGCGAAGCCGUAAGGCGAAGUAUAGGGGGUGACACCUGCCCGGUGCUGGAAGGUUAAGGAGAGGGGUUAGCGUAAGCGAAGCUCUGAACUGAAGCCCCAGUAAACGGCGGCCGUAACUAUAACGGUCCUAAGGUAGCGAAAUUCCUUGUCGGGUAAGUUCCGACCCGCACGAAAGGUGUAACGAUUUGGGCACUGUCUCAACCAGAGACUCGGUGAAAUUAUAGUACCUGUGAAGAUGCAGGUUACCCGCGACAGGACGGAAAGACCCCGUGGAGCUUUACUGUAGCCUGAUAUUGAAUUUUGGUACAGUUUGUACAGGAUAGGCGGGAGCCUUUGAAACCGGAGCGCUAGCUUCGGUGGAGGCGCUGGUGGGAUACCGCCCUGACUGUAUUGAAAUUCUAACCUACGGGUCUUAUCGACCCGGGAGACAGUGUCAGGUGGGCAGUUUGACUGGGGCGGUCGCCUCCUAAAGUGUAACGGAGGCGCCCAAAGGUUCCCUCAGAAUGGUUGGAAAUCAUUCGUAGAGUGCAAAGGCAUAAGGGAGCUUGACUGCGAGACCUACAAGUCGAGCAGGGACGAAAGUCGGGCUUAGUGAUCCGGUGGUUCCGCAUGGAAGGGCCAUCGCUCAACGGAUAAAAGCUACCCCGGGGAUAACAGGCUUAUCUCCCCCAAGAGUCCACAUCGACGGGGAGGUUUGGCACCUCGAUGUCGGCUCAUCGCAUCCUGGGGCUGUAGUCGGUCCCAAGGGUUGGGCUGUUCGCCCAUUAAAGCGGUACGCGAGCUGGGUUCAGAACGUCGUGAGACAGUUCGGUCCCUAUCCGUCGUGGGCGUAGGAAAUUUGAGAGGAGCUGUCCUUAGUACGAGAGGACCGGGAUGGACGCACCGCUGGUGUACCAGUUGUUCUGCCAAGGGCAUAGCUGGGUAGCUAUGUGCGGAAGGGAUAAGUGCUGAAAGCAUCUAAGCAUGAAGCCCCCCUCAAGAUGAGAUUUCCCAUAGCGUAAGCUAGUAAGAUCCCUGAAAGAUGAUCAGGUUGAUAGGUUCGAGGUGGAAGCAUGGUGACAUGUGGAGCUGACGAAUACUAAUAGAUCGAGGACUUAACCAU
RNAcentral lists this ribosomal RNA (2923 nucleotides) under Bacillus pacificus. RNAcentral's name for it is "23S ribosomal RNA". It matches the Rfam family "Bacterial large subunit ribosomal RNA". The record is from RNAcentral. Lineage: Bacteria; Bacillati; Bacillota; Bacilli; Caryophanales; Bacillaceae. RNAcentral also lists the same sequence under 1 other name.